This 429-nucleotide ribosomal RNA is filed under the name Chloroflexota bacterium. RNAcentral's name for it is "Chloroflexi bacterium partial 16S ribosomal RNA". It matches the Rfam family "Bacterial small subunit ribosomal RNA", at positions 355 to 776 of the family's 1533-position model. The record is from RNAcentral. Lineage: Bacteria; Bacillati; Chloroflexota.
UGGGGAAUAUUGCACAAUGGGCGCAAGCCUGAUGCAGCCAUGCCGCGUGUAUGAAGAAGGCCUUCGGGUUGUAAAGUACUUUCAGCGGGGAGGAAGGGAGUAAAGUUAAUACCUUUGCUCAUUGACGUUACCCGCAGAAGAAGCACCGGCUAACUCCGUGCCAGCAGCCGCGGUAAUACGGAGGGUGCAAGCGUUAAUCGGAAUUACUGGGCGUAAAGCGCACGCAGGCGGUUUGUUAAGUCAGAUGUGAAAUCCUCGGGCUCAACCUGGGAACUGCAUCUGAUACUGGCAAGCUUGAGUCUCGUAGAGGGGGGUAGAAUUCCAGGUGUAGAGGUGAAAUGCGUAGAGAUCUGGAGGAAUACCGGUGGCGAAGGCGGCCCCCUGGACAAAGACUGACGCUCAGGUGCGAAAGCGUGGGGAGCAAACAGG